CCCACAACAACAACAACAACAACAGCCGCCUCCAGCAGCAACGACAGCCGGAGCAGCACCGCAGCCCGCCUCAGCCCAGAGACCACGAUGCAGACAUCAGAAGCUGGGUCGGAUACAGGUUCAACUGUGACUUUACAGACAUCUGUGGCUGGCCAGGCAGCAGUGCCCACGCAGGUAGUACAGCAAGUGCCAGUUCAGCAACAGGUGCAGCAAGUACAAACUGUACAGCAAGUACAGCAUGUCUACCCAACCCAGGUUCAGUAUGUGGAAGGAAGCGACACAGUCUACACUAAUGGAGCUAUGU
Molecule: long non-coding RNA, 304 nt
Filed under: Gallus gallus (chicken)
Lineage: Eukaryota; Metazoa; Chordata; Aves; Galliformes; Phasianidae
Description: long non-coding RNA NONGGAT011782
Source: RNAcentral